This 253-nucleotide unclassified non-coding RNA is filed under the name uncultured Alphaproteobacteria bacterium. RNAcentral describes it as "contains 16S-23S intergenic spacer region". It matches the Rfam family "Bacterial small subunit ribosomal RNA", at positions 524 to 776 of the family's 1533-position model. Lineage: Bacteria; Pseudomonadati; Pseudomonadota; Alphaproteobacteria. The record is from RNAcentral.
GACGGAGGGUGCGAGCGUUGUCCGGAAUCACUGGGCGUAAAGGGCGCGUAGGCGGCCCCCCAAGUCGGGCGUGAAAGCCCGGGGCUCAACCCCGGAGGUGCGCCCGAGACUGAGGGGCUGGAGGCCGGGAGAGGGGGGUGGAAUACCCAGUGGAGAGGUGAAAUUCGUAGAUAUUGGGUGGAACACCGGUGGCGAAAGCGGCCCCCUGGCCCGGUCCUGACGCUGAGGCGCGAAAGCGUGGGGAGCAAACAGG